UGCAAGUGUUCGGUUGCUGACUGCAGAU
Molecule: non-coding RNA, 28 nt
Filed under: Mus musculus (house mouse)
Lineage: Eukaryota; Metazoa; Chordata; Mammalia; Rodentia; Muridae
Source: RNAcentral